Non-coding RNA from Balaenoptera musculus (blue whale), 73 nucleotides. The record is from the annotation of a RefSeq genome assembly. NCBI's taxonomy places the organism in Eukaryota, Metazoa, Chordata, Mammalia, Artiodactyla, Balaenopteridae.
UCCCUGGUGGUCCAGUGGUUAGGACUCUGCGCUUUUACUGCCGAGGGCUCGGGUUCAAUACCUGGUCAGGGAG